This 160-nucleotide ribosomal RNA is filed under the name uncultured Staphylococcus sp. Its description in RNAcentral is "partial 16S ribosomal RNA". It matches the Rfam family "Bacterial small subunit ribosomal RNA", at positions 355 to 507 of the family's 1533-position model. Lineage: Bacteria; Bacillati; Bacillota; Bacilli; Caryophanales; Staphylococcaceae. The record is from RNAcentral.
UAGGGAAUCUUCCGCAAUGGGCGAAAGCCUGACGGAGCAACGCCGCGUGAGUGAUGAAGGUCUUCGGAUCGUAAAACUCUGUUAUUAGGGAAGAACAAAUGUGUAAGUAACUAUGCACAUCUUGACGGUACCUAAUCAGAAAGCCACGGCUAACUACGUG